UUAUGAUGUUCCCGUAGUUUGACCAAUCUUGACUGAAACCUCUCCUGCUGACAUAUAAGGACAUAUUUAAAUUACAACAAGUAUGAGAUCUAACAAAAACACUACAGAAGUGAACAAAAAGUAAACAUAAAAAUAUAUAAAAUCAUUAAAAGCACUUCCAGAAUAUAAGAGAAAUUAAUGCUUAAUCGAAUUGUUCAAAAUAAUUUCUUAAACCAAAUGUUUUAAAACUUGUUGAAUAACAUUUGGUUGACUAAGGACAAUAUCUAAAUGAUUUUCAAAGAGAGGUAAUUAUAGAGAGCAUACAAAGUAUACAACAAUACCUGUCUUUUUCUUGAUGAACGCUGCCUCACAGGUGAGGAUGAGGAUGAUGUAGCAGUCACAGGGGCAGGUGAUGAACUUUUCCUCACAGGUGAGGAUGAGGAUGAUGUAGCAGUCACAGGGGCAGGUGAUGAACGCUGCCUCACAGGUGAGGAUGAGGAUGAUGUAGCAGUCACAGGGGCAGGUGAUGAACGUUUCCUCACAGGUGAGGAUGAGGAUGAUGUAGCAGUAACAGGGGCAGGUGAUGAACUUUUCCUCACAGGUGAGGAUGAGGAUGAUGUAGCAGUAACAGGGGCAGGUGAUGAACGCUGCACAGAAGACCAAAGACACAAAAAAAAUACCACAGAUGUAAACAAAAAGUAAAUAUAAAUGCUUGCUUAAUUCAAAGUGCAUUGAUUUAGUUUAAGGGCAAGACAAAUGCAUUUGGAACAAAUAAUGUUUAAAACACAAAAGGGAGGAGAAAAUAAUGUAGAAUAAUCUUUUGAAACACUGAUAAUAAUUUUAAAUCUUUUAGUUACCAAACAACUAUACAAAGCUUUUGCAAAAAAAGCUUGAAAAGCUUGAAGAGUUCUAUGUACAGAACAUACAGAAAGACAGUCAGAUAUCAAUACGACAACAGAUUUGAGAAAUGAGAGUACCUUGGCUUGCCAAUCCCAGUCUCCAUAGCUGUAAGUAAUCUCUUCUCCUGGUUUAAUGUC
Cyprinus carpio carpio is the source of this 1016-nucleotide long non-coding RNA. Lineage: Eukaryota; Metazoa; Chordata; Actinopteri; Cypriniformes; Cyprinidae. The record is from Ensembl.